Molecule: unclassified non-coding RNA, 323 nt
Filed under: compost metagenome
Also listed under: 1 other name
Description: partial contains 5.8S ribosomal RNA, internal transcribed spacer 2, and large subunit ribosomal RNA
Rfam family: 5.8S ribosomal RNA (bases 1-105)
Source: RNAcentral
GAAAUGCGAUAAGUAAUGUGAAUUGCAGAAUUCAGUGAAUCAUCGAAUCUUUGAACGCACAUUGCGCCCCCUGGUAUUCCGGGGGGCAUGCCUGUCCGAGCGUCAUUACUGCCCCUCAAGCGCGGCUUGUGUGUUGGGCCGCCGUCCCCUGCGCCUCCGGGCAAGGGGGACGGGCCCGAAAGGCAGUGGCGGCGCCGCGUCCGGUCCUCGAGCGUAUGGGGCUUUGUCACCCGCUCAGUAGGUCGGGCCGGGGCCUUUGCCCUCUCCAACCUUUUUUUCCUUAGGUUGACCUCGGAUCAGGUAGGGAUACCCGCUGAACUUAA